Molecule: ribosomal RNA, 253 nt
Filed under: uncultured bacterium
Lineage: Bacteria
Description: partial 16S ribosomal RNA
Rfam family: Bacterial small subunit ribosomal RNA
Source: RNAcentral
UACGGUGGGUGCAAGCGUUGUCCGGAUUUAUUGGGUUUAAAGGGUGCGUAGGUGGCUUGUUAAGUCCGGGGUGAAAGCCCACAGCUCAACUGUGGAACUGCCCUGGAUACUGGCAGGCUUGAGAGUCGUCGAGGGUGGCGGAAUGGACGGUGUAGCGGUGAAAUGCAUAGAUACCGUCCAGAACCCCAAUUGCGUAGGCAGCUGCCUAGGCGACAUCUGACACUGAGGCACGAAAGCGUGGGGAGCGAACAGG